AAUGGCGUGUGGUUUUGCAAAAGGAUCCGAAAACUUCCUUUCCUUCAAAAUUAUAAGCUUAAAUGUCUGAACACCGCCAAUGGCCUGCAAUCUUAAGCCAGAUGGCCCGGAAGCUUCAAAAGCAGUGAGGCGAAAAUUUGCGGUUACGUUGCAAAUUCCGAUUGAGGCAAGCAUCGGAAUCCAUCUAGCAAACAGCAUUUCAGAUCCUGUACUGGAAAUACGGCACCGAUGCUUGCUGCGUUUGCCUGCCGGAACCCCAACGCAAAAAUUAGCAACUGCCGGCUGCUGCUGGUUUGUCGAGGGCACUUGGCAGACAUCUUCAGCUGAGACAUAGUGGCUCGAUUGGCUGUUCCUCCACCUCUUCCGUCAGUCGAUUGAGCCUUCUCAAAGAAAACGGAUCUCCCUGAAAUUUGGCAACUGCGAGCCGCUGAGGUGUUUUCUAUAAAGAUAACUGUAAACAAGCACGACCAGGGAACUGGGAUGAAAUCCCUAAAAGCCGUUACCACCAUAGACAGGACACAGGAGCUGCCAAUGUUUUAAAUUCCGGAAUCCGCAAUUAGCAAAGAGCUACUGAGAAUUUGCUUCGAAUAUCCCGAUGCUUGGUGCACCUGUCAGCCGUGGCCCUCAAUGUUACAAACCCGUCAUCAAGGAUGAGCAUGGAAUUUUAAUGAACACCUCAACGUUAGACACGUUGACAGUUUAGUAGCAGCAACCAUCAUGGGUGUGUCCGAAGGAAAACGAACGCCAGUAAAGUAGCAGCGCCUCGCGCUCUCGACUGGCUGUAGGUGAUGCUGCUUCAACCGACCAGGAUGUGGUCGGAGAAAAUCGAACUGGAGGCAAAAGCAUCAGUUUGAGGAUGGGCCUUUUGUCUUUCCUGGCUAAUGUCCUCCCAGAUUGACCUGGAAAACCUGCUUACAACUGUGAAAACGAUGAUUAAUCCUCCAGGAAAUCUCUGUGAUCGGCAGGAUGACGACGGUGGAAACUAUCGAUCCUAAAAGAACAUGAUUUAACUUUGUUCAUGCUUCUGCACCUUAUGAAAUCAUUGAGUUUACUGUUAAGCUCAACCGAAGAGAAAUGAAACCGGCGAAUUCAGAACCAUACUCCCACGACUUAAACCUCGUUGCAUAGAGCCGGCAAUAAAGACACCUCCAGGCACGAUUCUGGUGGUCCGAUGAUUGUUCUCGAACACCAAGAUUUUCUGGGUAUCACCAUAUAUUGGUUAAAUUUUCUGAAAACGAAAACUGGUGUGCAUGAAUAUUGCGAAAUAUUCCAGCUACAAUGAACUACAGUUACAUUUUUCCUAUGCCACUAUUUACCAGAAACGUCCCCCAUAGCCGUACCAUUCAGAUUUCGUUAAAUUGCCCUCUACCAUGCUUUUUUUUUCUUCGAACAUCUCAUCGAAACUACGCGGGUAGAAAUUUGCACCGAUUGAACAAGAGGGCCGUAUUAUUAUGAAAGAUUCGCGACAGGGUAUUAAUUACUUUUUUUCAUUGAUGCAUUUAAGAUAACUUUUGAAUAAUCAUCAAUAACAAUAUUGUUAAAAGUUCCAGAUCAUAUAUGAAUCGAAUUCUACAAUUCAUUUUAGAUUAGAACUGAACUUAGUUGGAACUUGUAAAACUCAGAAUGGUCAAUUAGUUGGAAGAUUCUUAUUUGAAGUUUGUGUCUAAAGAACUUGAUCACGAAACUUAUAAGUAAAAAACUGGUUUAAAUUUCAAAGUUAAAUGUUUGAAUCAUAAACAAUUGACAAUUGCCAAAAGCAUAAUUUAUGUUACGUAUAUAAUGAAGUGCUAAUCGAAAUUGAAAAACAAAAGCUGAGA
Long non-coding RNA from Uranotaenia lowii, 1817 nucleotides. RefSeq lists it as uncharacterized. The record is from RefSeq and is a predicted model, not a curated record. The transcript is spliced from 6 exons. NCBI's taxonomy places the organism in Eukaryota, Metazoa, Arthropoda, Insecta, Diptera, Culicidae.